GUGAACUAGCUAACUGAAAUCACAGGAUCCACUACGUGUGGUGAUUGUAAUAACGUAAGGGAAAAAAAUGAUAUUACCUUACUAUUAGUGUUGUCCAAAGCUGGUGCCAGAAGACUCGGUAAGGCCAGAGACGCAAACGUUAGUCGUCCUAAUCAGGCGUAAAGGGUAUGUAGGCUGUUUUAAAAGUUUUAUAUUAAUAGCUAAUGUAUUAAAAAUUUUAUUUAUUUUAAAUAAUAAAUAUUUUAUACAUAAAAAUAUAAGAUGAAUUAAAGCUAGGAUCAAAUGGAGGAUAAGUCAAAUAAUACCUAGUGUAGGGUUUAAAUCUGUUGAUAUUAGGUAGAGUACUAACGGUGAAAGCUUUUUAUCUAUAAAUGAUUGACGCUGAGAAACGAAGGUGAGAAUAGGAAAUAGGAUUAGAUACCCAGAUACCUCUCACAGUCAACGAUGAAUGGUGGUUGUUAGUUAGUUUUAUUUAACUGAUAACGAUGUUAACACGAUAACCAUUCCGCCUUGCGAGUACGGUUGCAAAACUGAAACCAAAAAAAUUAGUCGGUCUCGAAGCAAACGAAGUGAAGCAUGUUAUUUAA
This 587-nucleotide ribosomal RNA is filed under the name Entoloma cervinum. RNAcentral's name for it is "SSU rRNA". It matches the Rfam family "Bacterial small subunit ribosomal RNA", at positions 383 to 949 of the family's 1533-position model. Lineage: Eukaryota; Fungi; Basidiomycota; Agaricomycetes; Agaricales; Entolomataceae. The record is from RNAcentral.